This 274-nucleotide ribosomal RNA is filed under the name uncultured bacterium. Its description in RNAcentral is "partial 16S ribosomal RNA". It matches the Rfam family "Bacterial small subunit ribosomal RNA", at positions 523 to 796 of the family's 1533-position model. The record is from RNAcentral.
AGACGGGGGGUGCUAGCGUUGUUCGGAAUUACUGGGCGUAAAGGGCGCGUAGGCAGCUCUGCGAGUCGGGCGUGAAAUCCCGGGGCUCAACCCCGGAACGGCGCUCGAUACUGCGGGGCUGGAGACCGGAAGAGGAGGGUGGAAUUCCCAGUGUAGAGGUGAAAUUCGUAGAUAUUGGGAGGAACACCGGUGGCGAAAGCGGCUCUCUGGUCCGGUUCUGACGCUGAGGCGCGAAAGCGUGGGGAGCAAACAGGAUUAGAAACCCUAGUAGUCC